UUGUUCUAAUUUGUUGAAGGGCCUCAAC
RNAcentral lists this non-coding RNA (28 nucleotides) under Rattus norvegicus (Norway rat). The record is from RNAcentral. Lineage: Eukaryota; Metazoa; Chordata; Mammalia; Rodentia; Muridae.